This is a long non-coding RNA of Eucalyptus grandis, 869 nucleotides long. RefSeq lists it as uncharacterized. The record is from RefSeq and is a predicted model, not a curated record. NCBI's taxonomy places the organism in Eukaryota, Viridiplantae, Streptophyta, Magnoliopsida, Myrtales, Myrtaceae. The transcript has 2 exons.
UUCCUCAACUUUUCUUAAAGAGCUCCAUAGUGGCUCGGAUAAACAGAACUAUAGCACUAAGGAAUUGAUUUAGUGCGAGAAUUAGAUAUUAUUUUUCGCACAACCACUGAGAAUUUACUAACUACAAAGUAGCGUGCAAGCUUCUAUAGUUUCCCCCCCAAUAAAUUUGGUAAAUCUGCUAAACCCUUUUUUUUUUCAGCAAAGAUUGUGGAUUGGUUAACCGGAAGUCAAGCAGGGCAGGAUUAGAACUUUCUGCUGUACUCUGGCAUGGUGUGGUGUGGUGGGUUUGGAUAAAGAAAACGGACUGGUUGCGAAAGCUUGUACAUUUUGCUGGAAAUAAGAAAAGCAUCAUCAGCGGAUGAUGAUGAUGGUGGUGAUGAUGCAUUUAGAGAAGCAAGAAGACAUUCCUGGGAUCCUUAACCUACACGCUCCGACACCGCAUCCCCAUGUGAACGAAUUCUUUUAUGCCCCCCCGGCCAAAGGCUGCGUGCUCGUUAGCGCAGUCAAAGGGCACGGCAUGUAAAGUGCGGCGCGGCUCUGAAGUGGGGUCGUUGCUUACGCAUGGAGGGUGAGCUCGAGCUGCUCAUGAUUGCGACCAGAGACACACUUCCGAGGGGCCAGGUCAUUACAAUAUAGUUUUUUCUUGAUUAACAAAAACUGGAAUGGCUUAAUCAUUAAGCGAAAUGACCCGACUUUGCAUGCUACAUGUGAAAAUGUAUUGGGACUUGAGCUACAAAUGGAGAUGAACAUGGCAGCUCAGGUGCUUGUUGUAAUGCUUGACAGGAGUGCAUUGAUUGUGACUUUCUGUGGAAUGUAUCUUAUUAUGUGGUUGAAUUUCUCCUAGUCCUCUAGCUUCGAGGAUUGGUUAA